UGCGAGUUUAAUAGAACCAUUAGACGAAGGAAACGAAAUCCAAAAUCUGUAAAUAAGAAGAAGGAGUAUUAUUUGGAGGAAGAUUUAAAUAGAAAACUAUGCGAAGAUAAUAAUUACCAGCGGUUGCAAUUUGACGUAACAUUUGGCUACUUGAAACGCUUUGUCGCAGGGAUCAUCUCCGGCUGAAAGAAAAACUUCUCGUUACCUUUGGGAUUCGAAAGAUUUUUAUUGAUCUUAAAGAAGGGGUUUGCGAAGGCAAAAGUCGAAAAGUAGAAUCGAAUGGAAUCAAGAAAGAAAAUACUUACAAACAGACUUGCAUCGCUGGAAUAUCUCCCACGAGGAUUCCUGCAUAAAUUUCGGACUUUCUAUUUUAGGAGGACAUGAUACGGCGAACGAACAAACUCAUGGUUCUCUAGGACAAUAGAACUAUCGUGUACUCCAAAACGAGAGCGAUGCAAGGUAUUGUGCGUGUACGCGGUGCAACGUGAUGGUCGUAACAUUCGUCGGACGUAACGAAUUUCGAGAAAGAGAAGAGCAUCGACACGGAGAAUGAACAUUGGAGGUCAACGAUGCGUCGAAUCUCGAGAGACCUUUAAAAACAUAGAUAUAGAAAAAAAUAGAAAAACAACUGACGUCACGAGUAUCGUCCGAUAGAAAAAAUUAGGAAGAGUAAUUGUCUUUUAUUUAUUGCAAAAAGUAUCGAUAAAAAAGUCUGGAAUGAAAUGCACGGGUUUGACACAAAUUCGAUUGGAUCAAAACGCAAAUUCGUGUUCGAAAGAGAUAUAGAUUUAUCGAAGAAUUAAAAUAAGGAUAUUUCCGAAUUAUAAUCAUCGCCAUUAAAUUUGACGGUAUCGUUUUUAUUGUUUUUGUGUUUAUUGUAUCGUACGUUUACAACUUUCACUCAAACGUGUGCUUUUACGAUCAACGACCCACAAUCACAUUGAAAAAAUUGGAUUGGUAGAAAAUUUACUAGACCAUCGAUUAUCGAUCAAAGACGUACCAGAAGAGCCAAGAGAAUCGUGC
Long non-coding RNA from Vespula pensylvanica (western yellowjacket), 1023 nucleotides. RefSeq lists it as uncharacterized. The record is from RefSeq and is a predicted model, not a curated record. Lineage: Eukaryota; Metazoa; Arthropoda; Insecta; Hymenoptera; Vespidae. The transcript has 3 exons.